This 163-nucleotide ribosomal RNA is filed under the name Lysionotus petelotii. Its description in RNAcentral is "5.8S ribosomal RNA". It matches the Rfam family "5.8S ribosomal RNA". Rfam says of the family: 5.8S ribosomal RNA (5.8S rRNA) is a component of the large subunit of the eukaryotic ribosome. It is transcribed by RNA polymerase I as part of the 45S precursor that also contains 18S and 28S rRNA. The record is from RNAcentral. Lineage: Eukaryota; Viridiplantae; Streptophyta; Magnoliopsida; Lamiales; Gesneriaceae.
AUAACGACUCUCGGCAACGGAUAUCUCGGCUCUCGCAUCGAUGAAGAACGUAGCGAAAUGCGAUACUUGGUGUGAAUUGCAGAAUCCCGUGAACCAUCGAGUCUUUGAACGCAAGUUGCGCCCGAAGCCAUCUGGCCGAGGGCACGUCUGCCUGGGCGUCACG